RNAcentral lists this long non-coding RNA (292 nucleotides) under Carica papaya (papaya). Its description in RNAcentral is "long non-coding RNA (CPAP_LNC008262)". Lineage: Eukaryota; Viridiplantae; Streptophyta; Magnoliopsida; Brassicales; Caricaceae. The record is from RNAcentral.
AAGGGAAAAUUAAAUAAAAGUUUUCUAAAUUAAAUCACCUUAAAGAGGAAAGUAUUUAUAUCCCUAACCACUUUCUUAAUUGUUAUUAUUCUAAAGAAUGAGCCAAGUUUGUUCAAGAGAGAAGGUUUGAGGCCUAUAAAGUGACCCAUGGGUUUUGAGAAUCAUAAGGCGAGAAGCAAAGCCAACGUUUGGCCUAACUCAAGAGGAGAUCAAGGUUUAAACUAACACGGGAUGGUAUGGGGAGGAUUGAAUCAACUAUUAAAAUCCACUCAACAUAUGCAAUAUUAAAACA